RNAcentral lists this microRNA (21 nucleotides) under Homo sapiens (human). Its description in RNAcentral is "hsa-miR-2114-3p". The record is from miRBase by way of RNAcentral. Lineage: Eukaryota; Metazoa; Chordata; Mammalia; Primates; Hominidae.
CGAGCCUCAAGCAAGGGACUU